AAACGUAGUCCCACGUUCGGACUGCAGUCUGCAACUCGACUGCACGAAGUCGGAAUUGCUAGUAAUCGCGGAUCAGCAUGCCGCGGUGAAUACGUUCCCGGGCCUUGUACACACCGCCCGUCACACCAUGGGAGUUGGUAACACCCGAAGUCAGUAGCCUAACCGCAAGGAGGGCGCUGCCGAAGGUGGGAUCGAUGACUGGGGUGAAGUCGUAACAAGGUAUC
RNAcentral lists this ribosomal RNA (224 nucleotides) under uncultured bacterium. RNAcentral's name for it is "partial 16S ribosomal RNA". It matches the Rfam family "Bacterial small subunit ribosomal RNA", at positions 1277 to 1500 of the family's 1533-position model. The record is from RNAcentral.